UAAUUCUAGAGCUAAUAUUUACUGAAAAGCCGUGACUUUAUGAAGCGGCGGAUUUAUUAGAUCAAAAUCAACGCUCAGCAAUGGGCCGAAAUUGAUGAAUCUGGAUAACUUUACUGAUCGUACGACCUUUUGUGUUGACGACAUAUCUCUUGAAAAGGCUGACCUAUCAACUUUCGAUGGUAAGAUCCUGGCUUACCAUGGUUGUAACGGGUAACGGGGAAUCAGUGUUCGAUUCCGGAGAGGGAGCCUGAGAAACGGCUACCACAUCUACGGAAGGCAGCAGGCGCGCAAAUUACCCAAUACCGGCUCGGUGAGGUAGUGACAAAAAAUAACAAUAUGGGCCCUAGUGGUUUCAUAAUUGCAAUGAGAACAUUUUAAAUACUUUAUCCAGUAUCAAUUGGAGUAUAUGGCCGGUGCUCUUCAAUGGGUGCCGGUCAUGGCCGACAAGUUUACUUUGAAAAAAUUAGAGUGCUUAAAGCAGGCUUAUGCUUGUAUAUUGUUGCAUGGAAUAAUGAAAUAGGACUUCGGUUUUAUUUUGUUGGUUUUCGGAACUGAAGUAAUGAUUAAAAGAGACUGCCGGGGACAUAUGUAUGCUGGUGUGAGAGGUGAAAUUCUAAGAUCGCCAGCAGACAAACUACUGCGAAAGCAUUUGUCAAGAAUGUUUUCAUUAAUCAAGAACGAAAGUCAGAGGAUCGAAGACGAUCAGAUACCGUCCUAGUUCUGACCAUAAACUAUGCCAACUGACAGUUAGUGAAGGUAGUUAUUGACAUCCUCACUAGAAGUCACCGGGAAACCUAAGUCUAUGGGUUCCGGGGGAAGUAUGGUUGCAAAGCUGAAACUUAAAGGAAUUGACGGAAGGGCACCACCAGGAGUGGAGCCUGCGGCUUAAUUUGACUCAACACGGGAAAUCUCACCCGGUCCGGACACUGUGAGGAUUGACAGAUUGAUAGCUCUUUCUUGAUUCGGUGGGUGGUGGUGCAUGGCCGUUCUUAGUUGGUGGAGCGAUUUGUCUGGUUAAUUCCGAUAACGAACGAGACUCUGGCCUACUAAAUAGUACGCUUGUGUUUAAUCGCAAGUGCUGACUUCUUAGAGGAAUUAGUAGCUUUUAGCUAAAUGAAAUAGAGCAAUAACAGGUCUGUGAUGCCCUUAGAUGUCCGGGGCCGCACGCGCGCUACAAUGGCAGUAUCAACGAGUUUUUAUGUCCUAGCUAGAAAUGGCCGGGUAAUCUUGUGAAACACUGUCGUGUCAGGAAUAGUGGUUUGAAAUUUUUCCACUUGAACGAGGAAUUCCUAGUAAGCGCAAGUCACUAGCUUGCGCUGAUUACGUCCCUGCCCUUUGUACACACCGCCCGUCGCUACU
This 1359-nucleotide ribosomal RNA is filed under the name Supramontana irritata. RNAcentral describes it as "SSU rRNA". It matches the Rfam family "Eukaryotic small subunit ribosomal RNA", at positions 153 to 1683 of the family's 1831-position model. The record is from RNAcentral. Lineage: Eukaryota; Metazoa; Platyhelminthes; Tricladida; Geoplanidae. RNAcentral also lists the same sequence under 1 other name.